GUCGAACGCUUCUUUUUCCACCGGAGCUUGCUCCACCGGAAAAAGAGGAGUGGCGAACGGGUGAGUAACACGUGGGUAACCUGCCCAUCAGAAGGGGAUAACACUUGGAAACAGGUGCUAAUACCGUAUAACAAUCNAAACCGCAUGGUUUUGAUUUGAAAGGCGCUUUCGGGUGUCGCUGAUGGAUGGACCCGCGGUGCAUUAGCUAGUUGGUGAGGUAACGGCUCACCAAGGCCACGAUGCAUAGCCGACCUGAGAGGGUGAUCGGCCACAUUGGGACUGAGACACGGCCCAAACUCCUACGGGAGGCAGCAGUAGGGAAUCUUCGGCAAUGGACGAAAGUCUGACCGAGCAACGCCGCGUGAGUGAAGAAGGUUUUCGGAUCGUAAAACUCUGUUGUUAGAGAAGAACAAGGAUGAGAGUAACUGUUCAUCCCUUGACGGUAUCUAACCAGAAAGCCACGGCUAACUACGUGCCAGCAGCCGCGGUAAUACGUAGGUGGCAAGCGUUGUCCGGAUUUAUUGGGCGUAAAGCGAGCGCAGGCGGUUUCUUAAGUCUGAUGUGAAAGCCCCCGGCUCAACCGGGGAGGGUCAUUGGAAACUGGGAGACUUGAGUGCAGAAGAGGAGAGUGGAAUUCCAUGUGUAGCGGUGAAAUGCGUAGAUAUAUGGAGGAACACCAGUGGCGAAGGCGGCUCUCUGGUCUGUAACUGACGCUGAGGCUCGAAAGCGUGGGGAGCAAACAGGAUUAGAUACCCUGGUAGUCCACGCCGUAAACGAUGAGUGCUAAGUGUUGGAGGGUUUCCGCCCUUCAGUGCUGCAGCUAACGCAUUA
Molecule: ribosomal RNA, 831 nt
Filed under: intestinal bacterium CPA-6A
Lineage: Bacteria
Description: bacterial SSU rRNA
Rfam family: Bacterial small subunit ribosomal RNA
Source: RNAcentral